This 506-nucleotide ribosomal RNA is filed under the name uncultured bacterium. RNAcentral describes it as "partial 16S ribosomal RNA". It matches the Rfam family "Bacterial small subunit ribosomal RNA", at positions 29 to 523 of the family's 1533-position model. The record is from RNAcentral.
AGUGAACGCUGGCGGUAGGCCUAACACAUGCGAGUCGAACGGCAGCACAGGAGAGCUUGCUCUCUGGGUGGCGAGUGGCGGACGGGUGAGGAAUACAUCGGAAUCUACUUUUUCGUGGGGGAUAACGUAGGGAAACUUACGCUAAUACCGCAUACGACCUGCGGGUGAAAGCAGGGGAUCUUUGGACCUUGCGCGAUUGAAUGAGCCGAUGUCGGAUUAGCUAGUUGGCGGGGUAAAGGCCCACCAAGGCGACGAUCCGUAGCUGGUCUGAGAGGAUGGUCAGCCACACUGGAAAUGAGACACGGUCCAGACUCCUACGGGAGGCAGCAGUGGGGAAUAUUGGACAAUGGGCGCAAGCCUGAUCCAGCCAUACCGCGUGGGUGAAGAAGGCCUUCGGGUUGUAAAGCCCUUUUGUUGGGAAAGAAAUCCAGCUGGUUAAUACCCGGUUGGGAUGACGGUACCCAAAGAAUAAGCACCGGCUAACUUCGUGCCAGCCGCCGCUGUAA